Molecule: long non-coding RNA, 709 nt
Filed under: Homo sapiens (human)
Lineage: Eukaryota; Metazoa; Chordata; Mammalia; Primates; Hominidae
Description: long non-coding RNA NONHSAT170776.1
Source: RNAcentral
UGAUAACCACAGUGAGCACCAAAGCCAAAUGCCAAAAACCAAAAAGGAUGGCAAGAAUCAACCACAGGGGACAUCAGAGGACCACAGGUGGAGGAGAAGAGGCGAAAGUGGAAGCAACACAGGUGGAAAUGCUGGGACGUGCAGCAUUCUAUACUGCAAGUAGGCCCCAUGAAACAACCCUAAGGCAAGAAAGCAUCCACUAUGCUCAGAGAACAGCAAGGUGGCCCAGUUGGGUAGAGCAGAGUGACCUGUAGGAAGAAUAAUGGAUGUCAGGAGGAUUACUCUGGAUGCUAUGCUGAGAAGAAACUGAAGACAAUGGUGGAAGUGGGAAAGCUUAUGACUCAGAAUAACUAUUUCUAAUAACAAAUUUUAAGUUCUCUUCAUGGACAUUCCCAAGGAGAGCAGCUGACACAAAUCUUCAACUCAUUGAUGAUGGCAUCUGACUGUUCCAGGUAUUAAGAAGAGAGAAAGAAUCUGAGAAAUUAUGGCGUACUCAACUGUGGACAGCUGAAAGUCUGGCAUAGCGUGCCCUCAUCAUCACAAAUGGGCUCGCAUUACAAGCUACACUUAUUUGACAACUAUCAGCAUUUGUCAACCGGCACUCAGAUUUGAAGACUCAUUUCACAGCUGGAGCAAGAGAAGACAGGAAGGAAAAAUCAGAGUAAGGUUUCAAUGAGUUUCUGCAAAUUCUCAGAAGUUUUGCUGCCAC